RNAcentral lists this ribosomal RNA (429 nucleotides) under Actinomycetes bacterium. RNAcentral describes it as "Actinobacteria bacterium partial 16S ribosomal RNA". It matches the Rfam family "Bacterial small subunit ribosomal RNA", at positions 355 to 776 of the family's 1533-position model. Lineage: Bacteria; Bacillati; Actinomycetota; Actinomycetes. The record is from RNAcentral.
UAGGGAAUCUUCCGCAAUGGGCGAAAGCCUGACGGAGCAACGCCUCGUGAGUGAUGAAGGUCUUCGGAUCGUAAAACUCUGUUAUUAGGGAAGAACAAAUGUGUAAGUAACUAUGCACGUCUUGACGGUACCUAAUCAGAAAGCCACGGCUAACUACGUGCCAGCAGCCGCGGUAAUACGUAGGUGGCAAGCGUUAUCCGGAAUUAUUGGGCGUAAAGCGCGCGUAGGCGGUUUUUUAAGUCUGAUGUGAAAGCCCACGGCUCAACCGUGGAGGGUCAUUGGAAACUGGAAAACUUGAGUGCAGAAGAGGAAAGUGGAAUUCCAUGUGUAGCGGUGAAAAGCGCAGAGAUAUGGAGGAACACCAGUGGCGAAGGCGACUUUCUGGUCUGUAACUGACGCUGAUGUGCGAAAGCGUGGGGAUCAAACAGG